This 465-nucleotide ribosomal RNA is filed under the name uncultured bacterium. RNAcentral's name for it is "partial 16S ribosomal RNA". It matches the Rfam family "Bacterial small subunit ribosomal RNA", at positions 338 to 795 of the family's 1533-position model. The record is from RNAcentral.
CCUACGGGUGGCAGCAGUGGGGAAUAUUGCGCAAUGGGCGAAAGCCUGACGCAGCGACGCCGCGUGAGGGAUGAAGGUCUUCGGAUCGUAAACCUCUGUCAGCAGGGAAGAACGGUCACUGUGCUAAUCAGCAGUGAAUUGACGGUACCUGCAAAGGAAGCACCGGCUAACUCCGUGCCAGCAGCCGCGGUAAUACGGAGGGUGCGAGCGUUAAUCGGAAUUACUGGGCGUAAAGCGCUCGUAGGCGGUAUGUCAAGUCAAGGGUGAAAUCCCCGCGCUCAACGUGGGAACUGCCUUUGAAACUGGCAAACUGGAGUGUGUGAGAGGAUAGUGGAAUUGCAGCUGUAGGAGUGAAAUGCGUAGAUAUCUGGAGGAACAUCAGUGGCGAAGGCGACUAUCUGGCACAUAACUGACGCUGAGGAGCGAAAGCGUGGGUAGCAAACAGGAUUAGAUACCCCGGUAGUC